Molecule: unclassified non-coding RNA, 5723 nt
Filed under: Stegodyphus dumicola
Lineage: Eukaryota; Metazoa; Arthropoda; Arachnida; Araneae; Eresidae
Description: f-box/LRR-repeat protein 12-like, transcript variant X2
Source: RNAcentral
CAAAAAAUGGCGUUUUGGUGGUACCUCUUAGAAAAUACCAAUUUUAAACAAUAGUAGGCUAUUUCUCGUCUUCAGAAAAAUAUGCUUAAGUAAAGGAAGUUCAUAUUUAUAUCUCAGAAUAUGUCGUUGUUGAAAAAAGGAGAGGAGGAGACAAACUCCAUAGCUCAUUUUGAAAACUUACCAGAUGUCAUACUCUUCAAAAUAUUCAGCUAUCUGUACAUUGGAGAUCUAUGUCGGGCUGGGAGAGUAUGUUUAAGAUGGUACCAAUUAACAAGAUGUCAAGUGCUAUGGAAACAUGUUGAUGCUCAUGAUAUGCAACUGACAUCAUACCAGGUUCAGAAACUUGUUCCAAUCCUCCCCCCUUGUGUUAUAUAUCUUAGAAUAUGUAGUCUUUCUACACAACAGAGAAUUCCAUUUCUUGCACCACAUACGGCCAUUGAAAUAAGAGAAAGAUGUCCACAUUUAAAAACUCUCAUUAUCGAAAGUGCAUUUAUUGCAAAACACAUUAAUUUCACUGAUAUAACAGUUGAAGAUCUUCCACAGAAAUUGUCUGUGUUGUCACUACGAAAAUCAUUUUUUCAUACUGAUCAGUUCUUUUGUAGUGUUAGUCAUCCUACAGUGCCCAAAAUCAAAGUGCUAGACUGUAGCUCUUGCUGGUGUGUGUCUGAUAAUGAUAUACCUUUCUUUUCAAGACUGAGUGACUUACAAGAAAUAUACUUAGCUGGCUGCCCAAUUACAGAUAUUGGUGUAGUUAUUCUUCUGAAAGCUGUUGAAAAUCUCAAAGUUCUUGAUUUGGAAAAUACUGCUAUUGGGGAGCAAACUGUGAUAUCGUUGGGUCAGAACUGCCACUCUUUAGAAAAACUUUACCUUGGAAAUACUGCAAUUAAAGAUCAACAUUUGUGUACAAUACAGAGUGCCUCUCUUCCAAAAUUGCAAACAAUUUGUCUUCGGAAAACAUCUGUCAGUUGUAUGGGGCUGAACUACCUCAUAUCAUCACUGCGCACCUUAAAAUAUCUGAAUGUGUCUACAUGCAGUAUCUCUUCCGAAUGUGAAUUGAUUGUUCAAGUAACCAAAAAAAGACAAUUGAGAUUUGAUGGCAGUGAUAUUGAAGAUAGUGCAGAAUACUGUGACCACUUUUUAUUGAGAAACAACCAAUUAGAUAGUUGAUUAUUCUAAUUACUCCUAGUUGAUAAUUUCAAGAUAUUGCAUGUAGAAACUUGUAUGGCAUCAGCUUAUAACCAAAGCCUUCAUUAUUUCAAAAUACAAAUGCAGCAAUCAUAUAAUUAUUUUCAUAUUUUAUAAUUUAAUGUUUGUCAUUGAUUAUGCAUGACGACAAAUAUAUCUGUGCUAUAUAAAAUGACCAUUAAAAUUUAUCAUUUAUAUAUUUAAGAUGAAUGGAAAUAGUCAUGUUGAACUUUUUGUCUCAUAUUUUUAUUAUAGAUAAUACAAUUUUAUAAUGAUUUUGAAUAGCUCUAAUUUUUAAAAAAAGAAUCAAAUAUAGUUAGACAAAAAAUUUUUUUUUACUUAAAAUAUUUAUUUUAAUGCAAUCUUAUUCAUGAUUUCAUAUAAUCAUCCUGUUUAAAAAACAAUUUUUGUAUAGUUCCGUAAAGUGUAGUAAAGAUUCCAGCUAUAUUAUAUUACUUAUUUAGAGUAGUGAGGUGGAAUUUCAGAAGACAAGAAGACCUAUCUCAUAUGUGUAAAUGAGAAUUAAAAUUUAAUAUGUUAGUAAAAUAAAAAUUAAAACACAUGAGAAAUGUUAUUGGGACUCGGUAACUCUCAUUAUGUGAAAAGCUUUAUAUGAUGUGUUAUAAUAAUUAAUAUAGCUUCAUUAAAAUCAUUUAUGUUUAUAGAGAUAAUAUAUGUGAUUUAUCCUUGCUUUCUAAAUAACCGUAAUGUUAAUUAGUUGACUCCAUAUACCAGCAGUGCUUUAGAAUUAACUGAGGUUGUUUUUUAUAAAACACGACCCACCAAUUAGCAUUCCGUAAAAUGGCUAUGCAUAUAAGGUGGAAUAUACUAUGUUUAAGGUGGAAUAAACUAUGUAUUAACUUUUGAUAUUAAUACAGAAACUAAAUUAUUAUUAUUAUAAAGUUGCAUAGGUGAAAUGUAUAAAAUGAUGAUUUCGUUUUAUUUAUUUCAGGCAGCUGAUUAAAUUAAGCAUAAUGAGAUAAAAUAUAUCCCUAAGUCAGCUUUUCAGAGUAUGUGUGGGUCCCCUAAAAGAUUAAGAAUUCCCUGAAUGAGUGUGCAAUGAGUAAGACUAUCAGUACUAAUAUAGAAGCACAUAGUGUCUGAAUUUUGAUAUAAAUUAUUUAAAAGUUAUUAGUAGUAUUGUUUGUUUAUUGAUAAAUGUAUACGAAACAUUUUGAUGAAAACUGUAGAAUUGGAUAAUCCUCUUGCAUACAAAGCUACUAUUUAUUUAAGUAACUGCAAAUGCUAAAAUAUUAGUUCAUAUUUUUUAUCUUCAAAUGCUGUAUUGGAUUAUUAUAUAUAAUUGAUACAAACAUGGACACUCUGCUUUAAUAAGAAAUCUCAUUAUUUCAAUUAGAAUACUCUAUAAUAAUUAUUUUACUUGCUAAAGAAAAAUUUACAUGAGCUUGAAUUAGAAAUUAUUUUUUGUGAUAUGAUUGUAUUGUAAUGUAGCUUAAAAACUAUAUUUGUAUGGAUAUUACCAUACUAUUUUAUAAAAUAAAAUUCAUUUUAUCUCCUCCAAAUAUUGUGCUAGAGUUAUAGCCCUAAUUAGUAUUAGUUUGUAAGCUUAAGGAUCAGCUUUAGUUUCUGCUUUUUGAAAAUGUACAGCUAUUUCUGAAGUUUAAAAUAUAUACGGAUGAUAAAAUGUUAAAAUAGAAAAUUAUUUCUUAAUAUUUUUGAUUACAUUGAAAAUUUUAAAAAUGUAAAAGAUAGUAUUUAUAUUAUGAUUUUUUAAUAGCUGUUUUUAGUUUCACAUGCUAUCAAUACAUCACAGAAAAAAUUCAAAAUGUAGCAAAAGCUCAGUAUAAAAUCAGUCAUUAGAUUGUAUUAACCUUAGUAGCCUACAGCUGUACUAGUUUCCAUAUUAUAUGUAUAAUACUUAGUGUAAUAUAUGAUAUGACUAAAUGAAGUAAAAUUCGAGAUAACACAUUUAAAAUAUUUUUUCUGAGCUUGGCUCAGUGAGUUGAUUGUUUCAUUCAAAAAAUGUAAUCGCAGCCAUCUGAUUGUUAAAUUACUGUAUUAAUUAUACUGAGCUAAAAAUUGCGUACAUAGAUUUGAAUUAUUUUAUACAUACAGAUAUCCAUUAUCCAGAAUGACCUAAAAUCCUAACCUCUGGAUCACCAGCAACCCCCCCCCUUUUUUUUUUUUUUUUUUUUUUGGAGGGGGCAAUACAUGCAAAGUUUGCUAUUGUUUUCAUAAUAAAACAUGUAAAGAGUCCCAAUUCUUAAUUUCACUUCAGUACUAAAUAAAAUACUUCCAUAUGUGAGAAACAAUAAUUUAUUAGCAUGAAUCUGUAUGGUUAAUAAUUUGGCUCUGUGGCUGCCUUUUUGCUUGCCAUACAUCUCAAUCCAAAACAUUUUGCAUUAAAACAUUAUUGAUUUUAUUGGAUGCCAAACUGGUAAAUCAUUAUUAUUUUCUGCUUUCAUUACUGCAACUUGAGAAGUCAUGCAGCAAUUUUUUUUUAGUAAUUGAAUGCCAAAGAGGUUGUUGAGCAAAGGUCUUUUAUGUUGACCUUACACUUGGCAAUGAUUACACACUCAGCUAACUCUGCUGCAAAGUGUUGAGUGUGUGGAAAAGGUGAAAUUGAACAGAAAUUUCCUUUCAUGUGCAAGAAAAUAGAUUUUGUAAAUGAUACUCAUAGGCUAAAAGAUUAUAUUUAAUGCUGUUUGAAUUGAGAAUAAUUUUAUUCAGAUAAGCUCAGAACUAAUGCUAUUAUUUUAAUAUACAUAAAUUAAAAAUUUUCAUCCUUUCGCCUGAUAACACUAUCUUUUCUUAAUAAUUUAAAUAAUCAGAAAAGGCUGUGUGAAAUAUUUUUUAUUUUAUUAAUUUAUGAAGUUAUAUUUCCUUUAGAUUUGUGAGUAGAACAAUCAACUCACAAACAUGGAUUUCUAUAGAUAUGUAUAUAUGUGUAUAUAGCAAUAUGUUAGGUUCUGAAUUCCUGAUUGUCUGUUGAUCUUUUGUGGAUUAUUUAUGGAUUAUCUUCUAAUAAGGGAGAAUGGCAACAUAUUAUCAUGAAUAAUAUUUAUAAUUCUUCCUCUGAUCCAUAAUUUGUUAAUUUCAAAGAGAUUGAUUCAUUAUUCCUGUUUUUAAUUUGCAUUAUAUGUGUUCAUCAAAGGUAUACAUAUCAUGCCUGUUAUUGCAAGAUUUGUUUCAUGUAAAUUAGCUGUGUUUGAGUAUUUAUUAGAAGUUAUUUUUUGUACAUCUUUUUAGCUUUUUACUGGAAUGAUUGCCAACUGCUGUUGAUUAAAUAGUAGAAGAAUGUUUUAACAAUUAAAGAAAAACUGGACACUAUUGGGAAAUUAGACAAAAAGAAAUCUGGUCAUAAAUCAGUCACACUGUUUUUCUUUUAAUACAGUAAGCACUGAGUGUUCAUAUGAUAGAACUUUUAGCUGGCAGUCACAUUUUCAAAAAUGUUAUGGUAUCGGUGAAAAGGGCUUGAAAAAUAAAAAAAAUGCAGAUUAUAAUACUAUAAAGUAAUUCUUUUGUAACUGAAUGUGAAGAUGAUAUGAAAACAUUUGAUAAUAUGAUUAAAAUUUUGCACUAAUUUUAUAUAUAUAUGGAAGACUCCCAAUUUUCCAUCACAUCUCAUUUUCUUGGUAGUCUAUCAAUUUGAGAACAUACUUAUGUGAAUUUAGAUCAUCUCUUUCAAAGGUAACGCAAAAUGGUUAUUGAUAUCUUAAGUUAUGGAAAAAAAUGGGGAUUUUCCUAUGUGUAAUGUGAAUAUGAGCCAGUUUCUCAUACAAAUUCCUCUAUGAAAGUAUCCCUUCCAUUAGGCAAUAUAGCCGAUUGUGCUUUGCUUACAAAAUAGUCCAAUCUAAUAUAAUCCAUCAGUACUAUAUGAUUUUCUUAAAAUAGCAUGAGCCCUGUUAAUAGAUAAAAAAUUUACCCCAAAUAUGCACAAUAGUAAAUGCACUGUUGUGGCACUAUUUUCUUAUGAAACAUCUUUCAAGACCUUGAUUUGGAAUAGUCAUGCAUAUCAAAAUAUUUACUCUUGUGUUCUAAUUAUUUGUGUUAGAUAUAAGGCUUGUCCAUUAUAUAGUCUGGAGACCACUGUCCUGUCCAUCAUAAUUUUUAACACAACACAGAUAUUAAGAUAUUAAAGCAAUUCCAAGAUUUAAAAGUAAAAACUAAAUUUUCAUUAAAGUAAAAUAUACAGAAAUAAGGGGGAAAUAGGAAUUGUAUGGCAAACCCCUUCUCCUGAUCUCCAGAUAAGUGCCAAACAAAUGUGUGACAGGUUCACCAAACCAUCAUAACGAUUAAAUCAAAUUUUGUAAGGUAUUGAUUUAUUAAUUCUAAUGGAAGUUUCUAAAUAUAAAAAUAUGAGCUUAAGACAUCAUAAGCACUUUCAGUUUAAUUUAUAUCUGAAAUUUCCAUCUACUGUAUGCUAAGACUUUAUGCAGACAACAUAUAAUGAAAAAAGUUUGUUCUACUAUCAAUUUGCAGUUUCCCAUUGAACUCAAAAAGAAUUCAAAGCUUUUUUUAGAGAAUAAUGAUAGGUUAUUAUGAGAUAAUUUUUUAAUUUUUUAUUUGAAAACAUA